This 253-nucleotide ribosomal RNA is filed under the name uncultured bacterium. RNAcentral's name for it is "partial 16S ribosomal RNA". It matches the Rfam family "Bacterial small subunit ribosomal RNA", at positions 524 to 776 of the family's 1533-position model. The record is from RNAcentral.
UACGUAGGGGGCAAGCGUUGUCCGGAUUUAUUGGGCGUAAAGAGCGUGUAGGCGGCCAUGUAGGUCCGUUGUGAAAACUCGAGGCUCAACCUCGAGACGCCGAUGGAAACCAUGUGGCUAGAGUCCGGAAGAGGAGAGUGGAAUUCCCGGUGUAGCGGUGAAAUGCGCAGAUAUCAGGAAGAACACCCGUGGCUAAGGCGGCUCUCUAGUACGGUACUGACGCUGAGACGCGAAAGCGUGGGGAGCGAACAGG